GGGCCCGUGGUAUAACGGCAACACACGUCUAUGGCAUGGACGAGUUCGGGGUUCGAUUCCCCGCGGGUCCACCC
Molecule: transfer RNA, 74 nt
Rfam family: tRNA
About the family: Transfer RNA (tRNA) molecules are approximately 80 nucleotides in length. Their secondary structure includes four short double-helical elements and three loops (D, anti-codon, and T loops).